This is a small nuclear RNA of Delphinapterus leucas (beluga whale), 100 nucleotides long. NCBI's taxonomy places the organism in Eukaryota, Metazoa, Chordata, Mammalia, Artiodactyla, Monodontidae. The record is from Ensembl.
UUGCUUUGGUAGCACAUAUACUAAAAUUUGAAUGAUACAGAGAUUAGCAUGGCCCCUGUGAAAGGAAGACAUGCAAAUUCAUCAAGCGUUCCAUAUUUAU